UGGCGGCAGGCCUAACACAUGCUAAGUCGAGCGGUAACAUUUCUAGCUUGCUAGAAGAUGACGAGCGGCGGACGGGUGAGCAACGCGUAGAAAUCUACCUAGUAGUGGGGGAUAGCCCAGAGAAAUUUGGAUUAAUACCGCAUACGCCCUACGGGGGAAAGCGGGGGAUCUUCGGACCUCGUGCUAUUAGAUGAGUCUGCGUCGGAUUAGCUUGUUGGUGAGGUAAUGGCUCACCAAGGCGACGAUCCGUAGCUGGUCUGAGAGGAUGACCAGCCACACUGGAACUGAGACACGGUCCAGACUCCUACGGGAGGCAGCAGUGGGGAAUAUUGCACAAUGGGCGCAAGCCUGAUGCAGCCAUGCCGCGUGUGUGAAGAAGGCCUUAGGGUUGUAAAGCACUUUCAGCAGUGAGGAAAGGGGUGUCGUUAAUAGCGCCAUCCUGUGACGUUAACUGCAGAAGAAGGACCGGCUAACUCCGUG
Molecule: ribosomal RNA, 480 nt
Filed under: uncultured bacterium
Lineage: Bacteria
Description: bacterial SSU rRNA
Rfam family: Bacterial small subunit ribosomal RNA
Source: RNAcentral